GACGAACGCUGGCGGCGUGCUUAACACAUGCAAGUCGAACGGAAAGGCCCUGCUUUUGUGGGGUGCUCGAGUGGCGAACGGGUGAGUGAAACGUGAGUAACCUGUCCUUGACUUUGGGAUAACUUCAGGGAACUGGGGCUAAUACCGGAUAGGAGCUCCUGCUGCAUGGUGGUGGAUGGAAAGAUUCGGCGGUUGGGGAUGGACUCGCGGCUUAUCAGCUUGUUGGUGGGGUAGUGGCUUACCAAGCCUUUGACGGGUAGCCGGCCUGAGAGGGUGAACGGCCACAAUGGGACUGCGAUACGGCCCAGACUCCUACGGGAGGCAGCAGUGGGGAAUAUUGCACAAUGGGCGGAAGCCUGAUGCAGCAACGCCGCGUGCGGGAUGACGGCCUUCGGGUUGUAAACCGCUUUCGCCUGUGACGAAGCGUGAGUGACGGUAACGGGUAAAGAAGCACCGGCUAACUACGUG
RNAcentral lists this ribosomal RNA (468 nucleotides) under uncultured bacterium. RNAcentral describes it as "partial 16S ribosomal RNA". It matches the Rfam family "Bacterial small subunit ribosomal RNA", at positions 28 to 507 of the family's 1533-position model. The record is from RNAcentral.